Molecule: ribosomal RNA, 160 nt
Filed under: uncultured bacterium
Lineage: Bacteria
Description: partial 16S ribosomal RNA
Rfam family: Bacterial small subunit ribosomal RNA
Source: RNAcentral
UAGGGAAUUUUCCGCAAUGGAGGAAAUUCUGACGGAGCAACGCCGGGUGAGUGAUGAAGGCCUUCGGGUUGUAAAAUUUUUUUUUUAGGGAAGAACAAGUAUCGGAGUAAUUGCCGGUACCUUGACGGUACCUAACCAGGAAGCCACGGCUAACUACGUG